UGGGUCAUAUUACCUGUGUGUGAAAUUAUUGGAUGUCAUCAUCAGAUGUGUUAAAUCCAGGGUGUCUUAUCAUCAGUAUUGUCUAAAUUUAAGGUAUCAAUAUUAGUGGUGCUUGAUUUCAUGAUGUCAACGUCAGUGAUGUGCCAACUUUGGUUGUAGUCAUCAGUGGUUAAUUGAAUUGAUAUUGUCACAAUUAGUGGUGAUUGAUUUUAGAGCGUCACAAUCACUUGUGUUACAUAUUUAGGGUGUUAAUAUCUUUGGAGCAUACAUUUCGGUUGUUGUCGUCAGUGGUAUGUGAAACAGGGUGUCGUAUUAAGUGAUGAUUGGAUAAAGCGUGUUGCUACCAGUGGUGUGAUAUUUCAAAGUUUCACCCUCAAAAGAGGUAUGAUUUAAGAAUACUAACAU
Molecule: long non-coding RNA, 405 nt
Filed under: Mytilus galloprovincialis (Mediterranean mussel)
Lineage: Eukaryota; Metazoa; Mollusca; Bivalvia; Mytilida; Mytilidae
Source: RNAcentral